Molecule: ribosomal RNA, 425 nt
Filed under: uncultured bacterium
Lineage: Bacteria
Description: bacterial SSU rRNA
Rfam family: Bacterial small subunit ribosomal RNA
Source: RNAcentral
GAAUAUUGGACAAUGGGCGAAAGCCUUAUCCAGCCAUGCCGCGUGUGUGAAGAAGGUCUUCGGAUUGUAAAGCACUUGAAGUUGGGAGGAAGGGUUGUAGAUUAAUACUCUGCAAUUUUGACGUUACCGACAGAAUAAGCACCGGCUAACUCUUUGCCGUCAGCCGCGGUAAUACAGAGGGUGCAAGCGUUAAUCGGAAUUACUGGGCGUAAAGCGCGCUUAGGUGGUUUGUUAAGUUGGAUGUGAAAGCCCCGGGCUCAACCUGGGAACUGCAUCCAAAACUGGCAAGCUAGAGUACGGUAGAGGGUGGUGGAAUUUCCUGUGUAGCGGUGAAAUGCGUAGAUAUAGGAAGGAACACCAGUGGCGAAGGCGACCACCUGGACUGAUACUGACACUGAGGUGCGAAAGCGUGGGGAGCAAACAGG